UACGUAGGGACCGAGCGUUGUCCGGAAUCAUUGGGCGUAAAGAGCGUGUAGGCGGCCCUUUAAGUCCUGCGUGAAAUCCUGCGGCUCAACCGCAGACGGUCGUGGGAAACUGGAGGGCUAGAGUGCGGGAGAGGGAUGUGGAAUUCCAGGUGUAGCGGUGAAAUGCGUAGAUAUCUGGAGGAACACCGGUGGCGAAGGCGGCAUCCUGGACCGGUAUUGACGCUGAUGCGCGAAAGCCAGGGGAGCAAACGGG
Molecule: ribosomal RNA, 253 nt
Filed under: uncultured bacterium
Lineage: Bacteria
Description: partial 16S ribosomal RNA
Rfam family: Bacterial small subunit ribosomal RNA
Source: RNAcentral